This 821-nucleotide ribosomal RNA is filed under the name uncultured delta proteobacterium. RNAcentral's name for it is "bacterial SSU rRNA". It matches the Rfam family "Bacterial small subunit ribosomal RNA", at positions 36 to 887 of the family's 1533-position model. The record is from RNAcentral. Lineage: Bacteria; Deltaproteobacteria.
CUGGCGGCAUGCCUUAUACAUGCAAGUCGAACGAGAAAGUCACUUCGGUGGCGAGUACAGUGGCGCACGGGUGAGUAACGCGUAGAUGAUCUACCCUUCAGCCUGGGACAACUCUUGGAAACGAGAGCUAAUACCGGAUAAAACCUUCGGGUUGAAAGAUUUAUCGCUGGGGGAUGAGUCUGCGUACCAUUAGCUUGUUGGUGGGGUAACGGCCUACCAAGGCGACGAUGGUUAGCGGGUCUGAGAGGACGAUCCGCCACACUGGAACUGAGACACGGUCCAGACUCCUACGGGAGGCAGCAGUAGGGAAUAUUGCGCAAUGGGGGCAACCCUGACGCAGCAAUGCCGCGUGAGUGAAGAAGGCCUUCGGGUCGUAAAGCUCUUUUAUGGGGGAAGAUGAUGACGGUACCCCAUGAAUAAGCACCGGCUAACUACGUGCCAGCAGCCGCGGUAAUACGUAGGGUGCGAGCGUUGUUCGGAAUUACUGGGCGUAAAGGGCGUGCAGGCGGAUUGGCAAGCCGGAGGUGAAAGCCCGGGGCUCAACCCCGGAGGGUCUUUCGGAACUGCCAGUCUUGAGAGGGUCAGGGGCCAGCGGAAUUCCUGGUGUAGAGGUGAAAUUCGUAGAGAUCAGGAGGAACACCGGCGGCGAAAGCGGCUGGCUGGGGCCACUCUGACGCUGAGGCGCGAAAGCGUGGGGAGCAAACAGGAUUAGAUACCCUGGUAGUCCACGCCGUAAACGAUGGGCACUAAGCGUCCGACGGGUUCGACCCUGUUGGGUGCUGCAGUUAACGCGUUAAGUGCCCCGCCUGGGGAGUACGGUC